GUGCUCACUUUGGCAGCACAUAUACUAAAACUGGAACAAUACAGAGACGAUUAGCAUGGACCCUGUGGAAGGUUGUCACGCAAAUUCACGAAGCAUUUCAUAUUUUG
This is a small nuclear RNA of Otolemur garnettii (small-eared galago), 107 nucleotides long. NCBI's taxonomy places the organism in Eukaryota, Metazoa, Chordata, Mammalia, Primates, Galagidae. The record is from Ensembl.